GACGAACGCUGGCGGCGUGCUUAACACAUGCAAGUCGAACGGAAAGGCGCUGCGCUUGCGGGGUGCUCGAGUGGCGAACGGGUGAGUAACACGUGAGUAACCUGCCCUUGACUUUGGGAUAAGUUCAGGAAACUGGGGCUAAUACCGGAUAGGAGCUCCUGCUGCAUGGGGGGGGUUGGAAAGUUUCGGCGGUUGGGGAUGGACUCGCGGCUUAUCAGCUUGUGGGUGGGGUAGUGGCUUACCAAGGCUGAGACGGGUAGCCGGCCUGAGAGGGUGACCGCCCACAUUGGGCCUGCGAUACGCCCCAGACUCCUACGGGAGGCAGCAGUGGCGAAUAUUGCCCAAUGGGCGGAAGCCUGAUGCAGCAGCGCCGCGUGCGUGAUGACGGCCUUCGGGUUGUGAACCGCUUUCGCCUGUGACGAAGCGUGAGUGACGGUAAUGGGUAAAGAAGCACCGGCUAACUACGUG
RNAcentral lists this ribosomal RNA (468 nucleotides) under uncultured bacterium. Its description in RNAcentral is "partial 16S ribosomal RNA". It matches the Rfam family "Bacterial small subunit ribosomal RNA", at positions 28 to 507 of the family's 1533-position model. The record is from RNAcentral.